Long non-coding RNA from Caretta caretta (loggerhead turtle), 2461 nucleotides. RefSeq lists it as uncharacterized. The record is from RefSeq and is a predicted model, not a curated record. NCBI's taxonomy places the organism in Eukaryota, Metazoa, Chordata, Testudines, Cheloniidae.
UGUUCCUUAAAAAGCAGAUUAAAAAAUGGUUACUAACUUUUCCAUAACUGUUGCUCUUUGAGAUGUUGCUCAUGUCAAUUCCAUGUUAGGUGCGUGCGUGCCACAAGCACUGUUGCUGGAGAUUUUUCCCUUAGUGGUAUCCAUCAGGCUGGCUCUAGUGCCCUCUGGAGCUGCAUGCUCAUGCACCAGUAAAAGGGGCGCAGCCAGACAUGCACCCUCUCGGUUCCUUCUUACCGUUAACUCUGACAGAGGGGUAGGUUGUGGAAUGGACAUGAGCAACACAUCUCAAAGGACAACAGUUACAGAAAGGUUAGUAACUGUUUUUUCUUUGAUUGCUUGUUCAUGUCCAUUCCAUGGUAGGUGACCCCCAAGCAGUACAUUCAGAGAUGGGCUCGGAGUUCAUGGACAUGCAGGCAGCAACACCGCUCUCCCGAAACUGGCAUCAUCCCUGGCCUGUUGUUGUGAUGGUGUAGCAAGAUGUGAAGAUAUGUACUGAUGAUCAGGUUGCACCCCUACAGAUGUCCUGGAUUGGGACCUGUGCAAGGAACACUGCCCUGACGAAGCCUGGGCUCUUGUGGAGUGAGCAGUUAAGAUGGCCGAAGGUGGGACAUUCGCCUGCUCAUAGCAAGCCUGAAUACAGGGGGUUAUCCAGGAUGAGAUCCUUUGGGCUGACACAGGUAGCCCUCUCAUCCUUUCCGCUAUUACUGUUACUACGAAGAGUUAUGUGGAUUUCCGGAAGGGUUUAGUCCUCUUCGUAUAGAAGGCAAGGGCACACCUAACAUCCAGUGAGUGAAGCCACCAUUCCUCAGAGCUCUUGUGAGGUUUUGGGAAGAAGACUGGCAGGAAAAUGGCCUGGUUGUUAUGGAAUUGUGACACCACCUUUGGCAGGAAGGCCGGGUGGGGGCAGAGCUGGACUUUGACUUUGAAAAACACUAUGUACGGCAGUUCUGAUAUAAGGGCCUUGAUUUCAGAGACCCUUCUGGCUGAGGUGAUCAACACCAAGAAGGUGACUCUACAAGAGAGAAAUAGCAGGGGGUAUGAUGCUAGCGGCUUGAAGGGGGGGGAUCCAUGAGUCUCCACAAAAUCAGGUUUAAGUCCCAUGUGGGGAUUGGCUCACAGACCUGAGGAUAGAUCCUCUCCAUCCCCUUGAGAAAUCAUACCAUCAUCUUGUGGGAGAACACUGACCGUUCACCGGUGGGUGGAAGGUUGAGAGAUGGCUGCUAAGUGUACCUUGAUAGACGCAAGGGCCAGGCCAUGCUGCUUUAAGUGGAGCAAGUAGGUCAAGACAGACUGAAGGGAAAAUUGAGAUGGAGAGGGAGCUUGCUGAGGUGCCAUGUUGAGAAGAGUUUUCACUUGGCCAGGUAGCCCUGGUGGAUGGCUUUCUAUUACCUAGCAAGACUUGCCGGACCUGUUCCAAGCAAGUCUGUUCCUCUGGGUUCAGUAAUGCAGCAUCCAUGCAGUUAGGUGCAGGGAGGUGAAGUUCGGGUGAAGCAACCAGCCGUGGUCUUGUGAGAUUAGGUCUGGAUGGAGUGGGAGCGAGAGUGGAAUAGCUAUUGACAGAUAGAGGAGCGUGCCAAACCAGUGUUGGCCAGACCAUGCUGGGGCUAUCAGAAUAACUCUCACCUUGUCUUGUUUGACUUUUAGGAGGACAUUGUGAACCAGAAGGAUCGGGGGAAAGGCGUAGAAUAGGAUAUCUGUCCAUGGCACCAGGAAAGCAUUGGAGAGGGAGCCCAGGCUGUGCCCGUGCAGCGAGCAAAACUGAUGGAAUUUCCUCUUCUGUCUCAUAGCAAACAAGUCCACCUUUGGAGGCCCUCACCUUUGGAAGAUGAACCUGGUGACUUCCGGGGGAAGAAACCACUCAUGGGAGGCAAGGACUAGGGGAGGAACUGUGAGCACAGAGUCCAAGUAGUGUCUGCUUAGGGAAUAUACUGAUGCAAGCCACAUCUGGAGGGACCUGAGGCGCAGUCUUGUGUGUUGAACCAUGGCUCUUGUCUUGGAGGCAUCAAGAAAUGAGGAGGCUGCUGGGGCCUGAAGUGCUUCCUGGAAACCAAUGGAGCAUAAAGGCCUAAGGAUUGUAGGGUGGCCCUUGAGUCCGUCCGGCUGUGAGGUCAGUGUCUGUCUGUUCCAAGAAUAGAGAGGAGCCUUCGAAGGGGAAGUCCUGGAUAGAUUGUUGGACCAUGUGAGGAAACUCCGAGAAUUGGAGCCAAGAACAACUACCUCAUGGUGAUAGCGGAGGCCAUUGUCCUGGCUGCUGAGUUGGCUGCAUCCAAAGUCUCCUGGAGAGAGGUCCUGGCCACAUUCUUACCCUCUUCCAAAAGGGCAGUGAACUCCUGCCUUGAAUCUUGGGACAGAGUUUUUAAAUUUAGCCAGGGAGUACCACAGAUUAUAAAUCACAUCUCUCCAGCAAAACUUGCUGGUUAGAGAUACGUAGUUGAAGGCUACCCUUUAAAUAAACCUUUCU